Molecule: small nucleolar RNA, 68 nt
Filed under: Capitella teleta
Lineage: Eukaryota; Metazoa; Annelida; Polychaeta; Capitellidae
Source: RNAcentral
ACUAUUUGUGAUGAUUAUCAUACCGCCCCAGGCUGAAACCUGUGACUGAUUGGAUUUAAUCUGAUAAC